UGCUUUCUCAAUCUUUGCUUUGUCUCCCCAGUCAGACCAGUACAUGAACCUAAAAGAGACGGAUGCAAGGAGACAGUAAAUUGGACCCAAGGCUGCAGCCAUGCAGAGAUUUACCUGAACCAGCUCUUUGAAGCAUUUCAGCAGUCCUAUGUAAGCUCUUACAGAGGCCCUUAUCUUUAAACAUUGAAACAGACCUUCUCUGAGGCAGAGUCCCAUUCAACAGCUCUUGUAGCCCCUCUGUGAAUCCUGACAGAACAACAAAACAGGAGUCUG
Non-coding RNA from Phasianus colchicus (ring-necked pheasant), 273 nucleotides. The record is from RefSeq and is a predicted model, not a curated record. Lineage: Eukaryota; Metazoa; Chordata; Aves; Galliformes; Phasianidae.